RNAcentral lists this transfer RNA (76 nucleotides) under Bacillota bacterium. RNAcentral describes it as "tRNA-Pro". It matches the Rfam family "tRNA". Rfam says of the family: Transfer RNA (tRNA) molecules are approximately 80 nucleotides in length. The record is from RNAcentral. Lineage: Bacteria; Bacillati; Bacillota. RNAcentral also lists the same sequence under 4 other names.
CUGGGUGUGGCGCAGUUGGUAGCGCGCUACCUUGGGGUGGUAGAGGCCGCUGGUUCAAAUCCAGUCACUCAGACCA